RNAcentral lists this long non-coding RNA (1088 nucleotides) under Zonotrichia albicollis (white-throated sparrow). RNAcentral's name for it is "lncRNA (ENSZALG00000004589.1)". The record is from RNAcentral. Lineage: Eukaryota; Metazoa; Chordata; Aves; Passeriformes; Passerellidae.
AUGUGCUAGUACUAAACUGGGCAUGGGGUGCCCAGACCCCUUUCUGCAGGCUCAAUCUGUUUUGUGCAUGUUUUGGGGUAGACUGAGACUGUGAAAAGCUUCAUGGGCAGAGGAAGGGUCUUACAUACUCUGACCUCGAGAUGUGCCCCCGGAUGUCGCAGAGGAGACCCAGCUUCUCCUCCUGUGACAGCACGUAUGGCACUUCUGACUCACUGCAAAACCCACAGCAUGUUUCUCCACAGAGAUCAGCCAUGCCUCUCCUCUUUUUGUUACAGCUUCUUCCAUCCCCCCAUCAUCGACCUACGUGACCACCACGUCCUCUAAUCUCAUUCUCUCUGUACCAGGCCACACACAGACAAUUUCCCAGGAGGAAAUUUUGCAAUCAACAUCAAAUCCCUCCACCCCUCAACCCUUGCGCAUGGUUGAGCACAUCCUCAUUCCAGCCAGCAUUGUGGUCCUUUUUUUGCUUGCAGUGGCUGCUGGUGUUCUAGUAAUACUCUCCAGAAGGAAGAAGGCCACAUCCAUGCUUCAUCCAGCUCUUUCUGGAGCAGCCAUAGAGAUGGACAGGACUUGCAGCAUGUCACCUACACAGGGAGCAGAAGCCUUGAACUAUGCAGACCUUACCCACGGCCCGGCUGAGAGCCAGUACAGCAAUGCUGAGGAUUUGCACCGCCUGGAAAGCCUCCCAGUGGAGUACACAGAGGUCAGGCAGAGUGCUCAGCUUUCGGAAGAGGAAAAAGAGAUGUUAUAUGCCAAAGUGCAGAAGCCCAAGCCACAGCAGGAGCAGAUCUACACCAACAUGCCAUCAGCUCCACGGCCCAGUGGAGAGCUCUACGGCACAGUGUGGGGUAGAUGAGCAAGCACCCAGCCCCAUGGGCUGCUCCUGCUGCUGGCAGCACCAGCGAGAUUUGCACAGAGGACAUGGGGUUGAUGUUCUGCUCAGGUAGGAGCCAGCUCGAUAGCAGAGCUGCUGCUCUCCAAGGUUUGGAUGUUUCUUUGAGGCAACAUCAGAGAGGAUGAGGUUGUGUGGAGGCACAGAGAGGGUUGAAGAUAAAGUCAUGCCUUUGCAAAUGCAAUUUGGAGUCCUC